GUGGCCUGCGUAGUGAUUCGGGCUCCGGCCCGAUCCUCCCACCCUUUGUGUACCUACCUCUGUUGCUUUGGCGGGCCGCGGUUCUCCGCGGCCGCCCCCCUCCCCGGGGGGUGGCCAGCGCCCGCCAGAGGACCAUCAAACUCCAGUCAGUAAACGAUGCAGUCUGAAAAACAUUUAAUAAACUAAAACUUUCAACAACGGAUCUCUUGGUUCUGGCAUCGAUGAAGAACGCAGCGAAAUGCGAUAAGUAAUGUGAAUUGCAGAAUUCAGUGAAUCAUCGAAUCUUUGAACGCACAUUGCGCCCUUUGGUAUUCCGAAGGGCAUGCCUGUUCGAGCGUCAUUACAACCCUCAAGCUCUGCUUGGUAUUGGGCACCGUCCUUUGCGGGCGCGCCUCAAAGACCUCGGCGGUGGCGUCUUGCCUCAAGCGUAGUAGAACAUACAUCUCGCUUCGGAGCGCAGGGCGUCGCCCGCCGGACGAACCUUCUGAACUUUUCUCAAGGUUGACCUCGGAUCAGGUAGGGAUACCCGCUGAACUUAAGCAUAUCAAUAAGCGGAGGAA
Molecule: ribosomal RNA, 560 nt
Filed under: Botryosphaeria dothidea
Lineage: Eukaryota; Fungi; Ascomycota; Dothideomycetes; Botryosphaeriales; Botryosphaeriaceae
Description: eukaryotic LSU rRNA
Rfam family: 5.8S ribosomal RNA (bases 187-340)
Source: RNAcentral